This 350-nucleotide long non-coding RNA is filed under the name Solanum tuberosum (potato). RNAcentral's name for it is "long non-coding RNA (STUB_LNC007597)". The record is from RNAcentral. Lineage: Eukaryota; Viridiplantae; Streptophyta; Magnoliopsida; Solanales; Solanaceae.
UGUAGUAAAUAGUGAAGAUAAUAGCCUUAGGAGUUACAUAUGUUACAAGGUAUAAUGGAGAAAUUAUGAGUGACAAUCAAAUAGACACUAAUGCCAUCAACGGCAUUUUGCAUCUGUUGCAAAACUGAAGUGCAUAUGGCAAUAACUCCUAAUGGAGUAAUGCAGUUGUAAUGCAGCAGUUAGCCACUCCAACGGCAACAAAGUAAUUGCCAUAACUCCCAAACAUAUAACAGCAAAUGAAAGUCAACCAAUGCAUAUUCUAAUGCAAUAAUGAAUAGAGGAAGUAACGACUCUGAGGCAACGGUCACUGUGGCAAUGCUAUGCAAUAUUUUUGUAAUAUUAAAAUGCCC